This 652-nucleotide ribosomal RNA is filed under the name uncultured Bacteroidota bacterium. RNAcentral's name for it is "bacterial SSU rRNA". It matches the Rfam family "Bacterial small subunit ribosomal RNA", at positions 52 to 694 of the family's 1533-position model. The record is from RNAcentral. Lineage: Bacteria; Pseudomonadati; Bacteroidota.
CACAUGCAAGUCGAGGGGCAUCRGGAAGAAAGCUUGCUUUCUUUGCYGGCGACCGGCGCACGGGUGAGUAACACGUAUCCAACCUGCCCUUUACUCGGGGAUAGCCUUUCGAAAGAAAGAUUAAUACCCGAUAGCAUAAUGAUUCCGCAUGGUUUCAUUAUUAAAGGAUUCCGGUAAAGGAUGGGGAUGCGUUCCAUUAGGUUGUUGGUGAGGUAACGGCYCACCAAGCCUUMGAUGGAUAGGGGUUCUGAGAGGAAGGUCCCCCACAUUGGAACUGAGACACGGUCCAAACUCCUACGGGAGGCAGCAGUGAGGAAUAUUGGYCAAUGGGCGYUAGCCUGAACCAGCCAAGUAGCGUGAAGGAUGAAGGCUCUAUGGGUCGUAAACUUCUUUUAUAUAAGAAUAAAGUGCAGUAUGUAUACUGUUUUGUAUGUAUUAUAUGAAUAAGGAUCGGCUAACUCCGUGCCAGCAGCCGCGGYAAUACGGAGGAUCCGAGCGUUAUCCGGAUUUAUUGGGUUUAAAGGGAGCGUAGGUGGACUGGUAAGUCAGUUGUGAAAGUUUGCGGCUCAACCGUAAAAUUGCAGUUGAUACUGUCAGUCUUGAGUACAGUAGAGGUGGGCGGAAUUCGUGGUGUAGCGGUGAAAUGCUUAGA